GCUUUGUUGGUAACCUUCGAGAAUUUAGAUUCUAAAUGGAUCUUGGAUUCUGGGUGUUCGUUCCAUAUGACACCGAAUAAAUCUUGCUUCAAAGAAUUUAUAUCUGGAAAUUAUGGGACUAUGUAUCUUGUUGAUAACAAGUCUUGUAAGAUGAUGGGAAUUGGAACCUUAAGGUUGAAACUUCAUGAUGGUGUUGAAAGGGUGCUGAAGAAUGUCUAGUACCUGAUCUUAAAAGAAAUUUGAUCUCUGUUGAUAUGUUAGAUGAUCAAGGAUUUCUUAUUAAAAUUGAGAAAGGAAUCAUGAAAGUUUGUAGAGGUUCCAAUGUGGUGAUGAGAGGAAGAAAAUAAAAUGGGAUUUAUCCUAUGGAAGGUACCACAGUGAAAACACGAAGGUGUGUGUUUCAAGCAAGCACAUAAAUGAAACUGAAGUAUGGCAUAAGAGACUUGGCCAUGUUAGUGAAAGAAGGUUCCAUGAACUGAAUAAGCAGGGAUUACUUGGAAAAGUAAAGCUUGAGCAAUUAGACUUCUGUGAAUAUUGUGUACUUGGUAAAGCUUAUAGAGUCAAUUUUGGAACUGGCAAAAGGGAUACCAAGGGAACACUGGCUUAUGUUUACAAUGAUUUAUGGGGAGCCUCAAGGACACCAUCACACUCCGGGAGCACAUAUUUUGUUUCAAUAGUUGAUGAUUACUCAAGAAAGUUAUAGGUGUUUAUUUUGAAGAAUAAGACGGAAGUUCUUGAGAGAUUUAAGCACUGGAAGAUAAUGAUUGAGAAUCAAACUAGAAGGAAAGUAAAAUGACUAAGAAACAAUAAUGGUCCAGAGUACUGCUUGGAUGAGUUUGAUGUGUUCUGUAAGCAAGAAGGAAUAUCAAGGAACAAGACCGUGAGGAAGACUCCUCAGCAAAAUGGACUCGCAGAGAGGUCCAACAGAACCAUCUUAGAAAGAGUGAGGUGCAUGCUAUUAAGUGCUGGAUUGCCCAAAGUGUUUUGGGCGAAAGGUGUGUCCACUUCAGCUUACUUAAUAAACAAAUGUCCAUCAACAACACUGGAUUUCAAGACGCCAAAUGAGGUGUGGUUAGGGAAGCCAAUGAGUUAUGAACACUUGAAGGUAUUCAGAUGUGUCUGUUAUGCACAGUUAGGCAAGACAAACUUAUGGUAAGUUCCUUAAAGUCUAUUUUCUUAGGGCAUCUUGAAGGAGUCAAAGGAUACAGGAUGUGGUGUUUGGAGCCCGGAAUGAGAAAUAUAUAAUUAGUAAGGAUGUGACAUUUAAUGAAUCUGUAAUGAAAUUUAUUGACAAACCUGCUGGAAGUUAAGCCAAUACUAACCGAGAAGAAAUUGAAGCUCCAAGAACUGAGCUUGAGGUGGAGCCUCCGAGAAGGGUAGAGACUGAAAUACCUAUAGAUCAUAAAAGAGAUGACUCAGAAGAUGAUUUCGGAAGUGAUAAGCUAAAGAGUUAUAAACUGGAUAGAGACAGAACAUGGAGAGAAGUAAAGGUUCUAAAAAGAUAUGGACAUGCUAAUUUAAUCGCAUUUGCAUUUCAUGUUGCUAUUCAAACUGUACAUGAAGAGCCUACCAGCUAUGCACAAGCAAUGAAAACCGAAAAUCGGAAGAAAUGGAAUAGAGCUAUGUUAAAAGAGAUGAUGCACUCCCUAAAGAAGAACUGGACUUGGAAUGUAAUACCGAUGCCAGAAGACGGUAAAGUCAUCAGAUGAAAAUAGGUGUACACAUGGAAAGAAGCCAUUCCAAGUAUGAAAGAAUUCUAAUGAAACAACCUGAAGGAUUUGAAGAGGCUGGAAAGGAACACUGGUGUGCUUGUUGCGGAAGUCUCUAUAUGGUUUGAAACAAUCUCUAAGAUAGUGGAACAAGAGUGUAAUACCCUGGAAUUAAGGAAAUGGAUUAGCAAAGCCCUAACUAGUUAAUUGAGUAUUAUUGUAGAAUUAUAUUAUAUUAUAAUUUAUUAUAUGCGAAUUAAUAUGAGAAAUGACAUGUUAAGACCCCGUUGGUGAGCCAGGGGCAUUUUAGUAAUUUUGACCCGAGAAGGGUAAAACUGUGAAUUUAAUUUAUUUAUGUGCUUAUGAACUAUAUUAUUAUAUAGUAUAUAUGGUGUGUCCUUUUUCAGGUGUGUUCUGACAAGUUGGUGCGGUAUAGUCACAAUCGGGUAUUUCGGGUCGAACCGGGUUCGGGGCCAAAAUAUAAUUUUGGGAUAAAUUCUUGGCAUUUUAUUUAUGUGUGAAUAAUCUGAAAUUAUUUAAAUAUGUGUUAUAUAUGAAAUGAAUUCAAUGCCCUUAAUUGUUUGAGUAUGUGAGAAAUGGCCCUAGGGGCAAAAUGGUAAAUAUAUAUUUUUGGAUUUAUUUUCAACUAAAGGCAUUCUUUGUAAAAAAAUGAAAUUCAUUUUCUGCAUUUACCUUAACCCUAAAACAGCCCCCUUCCCUCUCUCUCUCUAUCUCUCUUUGUAUUUGGUUGAAAAAUUGGUGAUUUGCUUGGUAUUCAAGCUUGAAAUUGAAGAAUUGUUUGAGGAGUUGUGGCUUGAUCAUUGCAUUGAAGCUUGAGGAAAGGGUAAAUCUAUCUCUGAUCAGCCAUGAGUAUGGGAGUUGGGCGAUGUAUGUACAUGUUCGAGCCACACUAGACCAAGUGGGUUGGGGUCUACCAGCGUUGAAACUUUUGUAACUCUAUUUUGCCGCUUAGGUCGGCUAAGGAGAAAAGACUUGUAAUAUUUUGUAAAAUGAUUUUUGGGAUCCCGAAACAUGUAACUUUUGUUUGUAAGGUUAAAAUUAUUACAAGUUUAUUUUCAUUCCA
Long non-coding RNA from Cannabis sativa, 2793 nucleotides. RefSeq lists it as uncharacterized. Lineage: Eukaryota; Viridiplantae; Streptophyta; Magnoliopsida; Rosales; Cannabaceae. The transcript has 2 exons. The record is from RefSeq and is a predicted model, not a curated record.